CAGGUGUGGGCACAUGUGCGCGCGCACACACCCACACCCCAGCACAGCUCCAAAGGCGGAGGCCAGCCUUGGCCACUUGGCCCUGGCCUUCCCACCACCCUCAGCGUGACCCUCUCUCACCCAGGUGGGAGGCGGCAGUGAGAAGAGCCUCAGUGACUGGAUGGUGAGACAAGGCAUGGUGAGAGGGGCUGGGCACCUGCGCAGGGCCACCCCGGCGGUGCUGUCCAUCAGACCCGAGGAGAGCGAGGGGCAUCAGGGCGCCCAGCCCCGCUCCCCGGCCCUUGCUUCCACGGCCGUGCAGCUCUGGCAGCUGGGAGGUGACCGGGGCUGGCCUGGAUCUGGGCUGAGUGUCCGCAUAGGGAGCUGGGCAGCGCUGGGAACUUGCUGCUGGUGCUGCUGGGGAAUCAGCUCCUGCCUCUUCUCUGGGCGCUCCUGCCGCCCACCGGGGUCCUCGCUGCCUGCCGAGGACAGAGCUUGGGGACUGACCUGGCUUUGGUUGGAGAAGGACUCGUUCUCCCUCUGUUUCCCAAAGUAGCUAAGUGGUAACUGGCGUUUCCUAGGCAUCUAAGCUGUGCCAGGCGCUGUGCUAAGCUCUCUGCCUCCCUCAUCUCCUUUAAUUCUCACAGCAGCCUGGACGGUAGGUAGCAUCACCCGUUGCAGUGAGCGAGGCGAGGGUUCGGGGAGUUUAGCAACCUGCGCAAAGUCGCAGGCCAGCACUGCGCCAGCUUUCUGACCCCGGAGUCUGUGCCCAGAGCCUCCAGUAGGAUCCUCCCACUCAAGAUGCAUCUCGAGACCCCAGCCCUGCCCCAGUCCAACCCUCAGCCUCGGUGGCAGAACUCGUAUCUUUUUUACCCCCGGUGAAAUGUACCCGCAGAACCGCAGCCCCCUGGACCCACCAGGCUGGUGGUCCCGGCACCUCCCUCAGCUCCAGCCCAUCUCUGCCCCCUCCCACCAUAAACUCUUGAGUCUGCAGGGGUGCAGUGGGCGCUGCAGUCGCCCCCCUGCCCCAGCCUUGCCAGCUGGCCGCUCCCUGGGCCUUGAGUGUUACUGUGUCAGGGGCUCGCGAGGCAGGUGACUGCGCGGGGCCUCAGCCGGUGGGCCCUGGGCUGGUGGGGCCUCCCUCUGGUCCAGUGCACUGUUCUCCCCCCCAGAUCCCUGUCACCCAGGCCUGCCUCAUGGAGGACAUCGAGCAGUGGCUGUCCACGGACGUGGUGAGUCAGGCCUGCCCCUCACCCACCUGACAGGAAGCCCACUUUAAUCACGAGGAAGUUGGGGGGCAGGGGGAGCAGAGAGCAUGCACGGAGGACACCUCAGCAGCCGGGAGUGUGUCCCCCACCCCCCCAGGACACUGGGCCCGGCCCACCCCCCCAACAGCUGCUGGAGCCUCUCUUCCCCGAGCCUGCCACCACCAACCCCGGGUCCCGCUGUGGGCAGGACGGGUGGACUGAGGGCAGCAGGGGACACCUGCAGUGGCCCCGGGAGACACGCUGCAGCCCCACUUGCAGAGCAGGACACUGACAGGCAGCUGCAAGGGGUGCGGUGCCUGGAGGAGGCGGGCGCGCCCGGCGGUCUGCAGAGCCCCGCGUCUGCCAUCACCACCUACCUGUGGGCACUGAGGACCAAAUGCCUGGGCGCUUCCAGGCCCAGAGGCUGCCUUCUGCAAGCGGCAAGGCCACGCUUCUGCCCAUGGUCAGGAGAGUGUCCGUUGUGUCUGGUGGAGGAAGGCUUACCCCCACCCCAGCCCCCAGCCCAAGCACGCGUGGCCUCGGUCUCGGGUGUCAGCUUGUCCAUCAUGGGGCGAGUCUGCCCAUCCCUCUAGGCACUGGAGGGAAGGGUCAUUGAGGGCCCAGUGGGCACCACACCCUGUGCUCGGCACACGGCCAGCAGGCCUCCCCGACAGCCCCGUGAGUGCCACCCAGCUGAAAGCCGAGGCUCAGAGAGGUCAGGUGACAUCCAAGGCCAGGUGGCUCAGGAAGGGGUGGGGCCGGGGUCUGGGCCCCUCUGGUCUGCAGGCUGAGCCCCACCCUGGCCCACAGCUAACCUGCCUCCUUCUGCUUCUCAGGGCAAUGAUGCCGAGGAGCCCAAGGGCGUCACCAGUGAAGAAUUCGACAAGUUCCUGGAAGAACGGGCCAAAGUGGCCGACCGUUUGCCCAACCUCUCCAGCCCCUCGGCCGAGGGGCCCCCGGGUCCCCCAUCUGGCACCGUCCCUCGAAAGAAGACGCAGGAGAAGGACGAGGACAUGCUGUUUGCCUUAUGAGUGUGGGGCCUGGCGUCCUGGAGCCCGGGCCCCCGCUGUUCCCACACUGCGUGGCUGGGGCCUCUUCCUCCUUUGGUGUUCGCUGCUUUGGGGGUGGCUUGUUGCGCCCUCUUCUCUCCCCUUUGAGGUUGGGGCUGUGCUGCCUGGGGGUACAGGGGGCAGCUGGACAAGUUGAGAGCGCGAGUCAGUUCUAUGCUGGAUCCUGGCCACGCCUGCCUCCUUCCCCACCCCCACCAACCACUACAACUUUGCUGGAAAGCUGGAGGCCCCGGCACAGACAGGCUGGCCUCGUGGUUGCCCCAGUGUGACUGCCCCUGCCGUGGUGACCCAUCCCCAGAGGAGCGCCCUUCAGAGCCCUCACUGCCAGUUAAGGCCCAGCCUGAGGUUGGAGACCGCAGAUGCUUCUGUCGCAGCCUUGGGGCCCAAAGGCUUUGGCCACUGCGGAGGGCCGGGGGUGUGCUGUGGUGAAGGGAGGCCCCACCAGCCCCCGGCCGCAGGGGGAGGCUGCGGGGGUGCCUGGCGCACCCAUGUCACCCACGACCUCCACGCCCUUCCCUCCAUCCUUUCUCUCUUCCUCCCGCGCAGGCCUCCACUGGGCACUGGGCCCACCCAGCUGUUGGUUGACCCUCUUGUACUGGGAGAGGUGCCCUUUGUACCCCCGAUUAAAAGUAGAAAAGC
This 2935-nucleotide long non-coding RNA is filed under the name Sus scrofa (pig). RNAcentral's name for it is "lncRNA (ENSSSCG00055007109.1)". Lineage: Eukaryota; Metazoa; Chordata; Mammalia; Artiodactyla; Suidae. The record is from RNAcentral.